RNAcentral lists this ribosomal RNA (452 nucleotides) under uncultured bacterium. RNAcentral describes it as "bacterial SSU rRNA". It matches the Rfam family "Bacterial small subunit ribosomal RNA", at positions 8 to 507 of the family's 1533-position model. The record is from RNAcentral.
AGAGUUGAUCAUGGCUCAGAACGAACGCUGGCGGCAUGCCUAACACAUGCAAGUCGAACGAAGCCUUCGGGCUUAGUGGCGCACGGGUGCGUAACGCGUGGGAAUCUGCCCUUGGGUUCGGAAUAACAGUUAGAAAUGACUGCUAAUACCGAAUGAUGUCUUCGGACCAAAGAUUUAUCGCCCAAGGAUGAGCCCGCGUCGGAUUAGCUAGUUGGUGAGGUAAAGGCUCACCAAGGCGACGAUCCGUAGCUGGUCUGAGAGGAUGAUCAGCCACACUGGGACUGAGACACGGCCCAGACUCCUACGGGAGGCAGCAGUGGGGAAUAUUGGACAAUGGGCGAAAGCCUGAUCCAGCAAUGCCGCGUGAGUGAUGGAGGCCUUAGGGUUGUAAAGCUCUUUUACCCGGGAUGAUAAUGACAGUACCGGGAGAAUAAGCCCCGGCUAACUCCGUG